CGCCUGUUUAACAAAAACAUCUCUUCUCGUUGUUUUUGAAUGUAUGGCCUGCCCUCUGCUGUUAGUUGAAGGGCCGCGGUAUUUUGACCGUGCAAAGGUAGCAUAAUCAUUAGUUCUUUAAUUGUGAUCUGGUAUGAAUGGCUUGACGAGACAUGAGCUGUCUUAGGGGUAUUGGUUUGUUGAAUUUGGUUUUUGAGUUAAAAUUCUUAAAUGUUUUUAUGGGACGAGAAGACCCUAUAGAGUUUGACAAUUUUGUUAUUUGUUUAUUGUUUGUUUCUUGUUACAUUGAGUGGGAAUAAUUGUUUUGUUGGGGUGAUGGGAGGAAAAAUAUUUAACUCCUCUUUGUUUUUGUAGAUUUAUGUAUAUUUUUUUGAUCCAUUUAUUAUUGAUUAUAAGAUUAAAUUACCUUAGGGAUAACAGCGUAA
This 425-nucleotide ribosomal RNA is filed under the name Nasutitermes acajutlae. Its description in RNAcentral is "partial 16S ribosomal RNA". The stretch from base 1 to 210 matches the Rfam family "Archaeal large subunit ribosomal RNA", at positions 1892 to 2146 of the family's 2987-position model. The record is from RNAcentral. Lineage: Eukaryota; Metazoa; Arthropoda; Insecta; Blattodea; Termitidae.